CGUGUAGGCGGUUUGUCAAGUCGGGUGUGAAAGCCUGGGGCUCAGCCCCAGAAGUGCAUCCGAAACUAGCGAGCCAGAGCGCGAUAGAGGAGGGUGGAAUUCCUGGUGUAGCGGUGAAAUGCGUAGAUAUCAGGAGGAACACCGGCGGCGAAGGCGGCCCUCUGGAUCGUUGCUGACGCUGAGACGCGAAAGCGUGGGGAGCAAACAGGAUUAGAUACCCUGGUAGUCCACGCCUUAAACGAUGGGUACUAGGUGUUCGGGGUGUUGACCCCCUGAGUGCCGCAGUUAACGCAUUAAGUACCCCGCCUGGGGACUACGGCCGCAAGGUUAAA
RNAcentral lists this ribosomal RNA (332 nucleotides) under uncultured bacterium. Its description in RNAcentral is "bacterial SSU rRNA". It matches the Rfam family "Bacterial small subunit ribosomal RNA", at positions 568 to 898 of the family's 1533-position model. The record is from RNAcentral.